ACACUCCUACGGGAGGGCAGCAGUGGGGAAUUUUGGACAAUGGGCGAAAGCCUGAUCCAGCAAUGCCGCGUGCAGGAUGAAGGCCUUCGGGUUGUAAACUGCUUUUGUACGGAACGAAAAAGCUCCUUCUAAUACAGGGGGCCCAUGACGGUACCGUAAGAAUAAGCACCGGCUAACUACGUGCCAGCAGCCGCGGUAAUACGUAGGGUGCGAGCGUUAAUCGGAAUUACUGGGCGUAAAGCGUGCGCAGGCGGUUAUGUAAGACAGAUGUGAAAUCCCCGGGCUCAACCUGGGAACUGCAUUUGUGACUGCAUGGCUAGAGUACGGUAGAGGGGGAUGGAAUUCCGCGUGUAGCAGUGAAAUGCGUAGAUAUGCGGAGGAACACCGAUGGCGAAGGCAAUCCCCUGGACCUGUACUGACGCUCAUGCACGAAAGCGUGGGGAGCAAACAGGAUUAGAAACCCCAGUAGUCCCAUGAU
This 478-nucleotide ribosomal RNA is filed under the name uncultured organism. RNAcentral's name for it is "partial 16S ribosomal RNA". It matches the Rfam family "Bacterial small subunit ribosomal RNA", at positions 333 to 801 of the family's 1533-position model. The record is from RNAcentral.